UGAUAGGUCAGAGGUGUAAGUGCGGUAACGUAUUUAGCUGACUGAUACUAAUAGGUCGAGGGCUUGACCAAUAA
Molecule: ribosomal RNA, 74 nt
Filed under: Clostridium saudiense
Lineage: Bacteria; Bacillati; Bacillota; Clostridia; Eubacteriales; Clostridiaceae
Description: partial 23S ribosomal RNA
Source: RNAcentral